UACGUAGGGGGCGAGCGUUGUCCGGAGUUACUGGGCGUAAAGGGCCCGCAGGCGGUUCGGCCAGUUCAGACUGACAAUUCUGCCCUUAAUGCAGAGAGGCGUCUGAAAACUACCGAACUUGAGGCAAUGAGAGGGACAGGGAAUUCCGGGUGGAGUGGUGAAAUGCGUAGAUAUCCGGAGGAACACCAAAGGCGAAGGCACUGUCCUGGCAUUGUCCUGACGCUCAUGGGCGACAGCUAGGGGAGCGAACGGG
This 253-nucleotide ribosomal RNA is filed under the name uncultured prokaryote. RNAcentral's name for it is "partial 16S ribosomal RNA". It matches the Rfam family "Bacterial small subunit ribosomal RNA", at positions 524 to 776 of the family's 1533-position model. The record is from RNAcentral.